RNAcentral lists this ribosomal RNA (391 nucleotides) under uncultured bacterium. Its description in RNAcentral is "bacterial SSU rRNA". It matches the Rfam family "Bacterial small subunit ribosomal RNA", at positions 355 to 762 of the family's 1533-position model. The record is from RNAcentral.
UGGGGAAUCUUGCACAAUGGGCGAAAGCCUGAUGCAGCAACGCCGCGUGCGGGAAGACAGCCCUAGGGUUGUAAACCGCUUUCAGCAGGGAAGAAACUGACGGUACCUGCAGAAGAAGAUGCGGCCAACUACGUGCCAGCAGCCGCGGUGACACGUAGGCAUCAAGCGUUAUCCGGAUUUAUUGGGCGUAAAGAGCUCGUAGGCGGUUCGGUAAGUCGGGUGUGAAACUCUGGGCUCAACCCAGAGAGGCCACUCGAUACUGCUGUGACUAGAGUGCGGUAGGGGAGCGGGGAAUUCCGUGGUGUAGCGGUGAAAUGCGCAGAUAUCAGGAGGAACACCAGUGGCGAAGGCGCCGCUCUGGGCCGUAACUGACGCUGAGGAGCGAAAGCAU